AAAGGAAUUGACGGGACCCCGCACAAGCGGUGGAUCAUGUUGUUUAAUUCGACGAUACGCGAAGAACCUUACCAGGUCUUGACAUCCCCUGCAAGAGCUUAGAGAUAAGCUUGAGGUUAUCAGGGUGACAGGUGGUGCAUGGUUGUCGUCAGCUCGUGUCGUGAGAUGUUGGGUUAAGUCCCGUAACGAGCGCAACCCUUGUCGUUAGUUGCCAGCAUUAAGUUGGGGACUCUAACGAGACUGCCAGUGAUAAACUGGAGGAAGGUGGGGAUGACGUCAAAUCAUCAUGCCCCUUAUGACCUGGGCUACAAACGUGAUACAAUGGCUGGAACAAAGGGAAGCGAAAGGGUGACCUGGAGCAAAACUCAUAAAGACAGUCUCAGUUCGGAUUGAAGUCUGCAACUCGACUUCAUGAAGCCGGAAUCGCUAGUAAUCGUGGAUCAGAACGCCACGGUGAAUACGUUCUCGGGGUUUGUACACACCGCCCGU
This 489-nucleotide ribosomal RNA is filed under the name uncultured bacterium. RNAcentral describes it as "bacterial SSU rRNA". It matches the Rfam family "Bacterial small subunit ribosomal RNA", at positions 903 to 1397 of the family's 1533-position model. The record is from RNAcentral.